GGUACCGGGUGGUGCAGGGUAGAGUACCGGGUGGUGCAGGCUAGUGUACCGGGUGGUGAAGGGUAGAGUACCGGGUGGUGCAGGGUAGUGUACCAGGUGGAGGUAGCAGGGUAGUGUACCGGGUGGUAGUAGCAGGGUAGAGUACCGGGUGGGGUACAGGAUAGUGUACCGGGUGGUGCAGGGUAGUGUACCGGGUGGGAGCAGGGUAGUGUACCGGGUGGUGCAGGGUAGUGUUACCGGGUGGUGCAGGGUAGUGUACCGGGUGGGAGCAGGGUAGAGUACCGGGUGGUGUAGGGUAGUGUACCGGGUGGUGUAGGGUAGUGUUCCCGGUGGUGCAGGGUAGUGUUCCCGGGUGGGAGCAGGGUAGAGUACCGGGUGGUGCAGGGUAGUGUACCGGGUGGUAGCAGGGUAGUGUACCGGUGGUAGCAGGGUAGUGUACCGGGUGGUAGCAGGGUAGAGUACCGGGUGGUGCAGCCUAGAGUACCGGGUCGGAGCCGGCUGUUAACAGUGACUAAAGAUCAGCGUUGGGUACUGGACAGCGGCUGGCUAGUGGUGACUAUUUAACAGUCUGAUGGAGUGUGUGUGUGUGUGUGUGUGUGUGUGUGACAGAGUAACAAAUCAUGAAUGAUAAAAGUAUGAUAUUUGUUCAAAGUUUAUAUUUUCACGUUGAAGGAGUCAAUUUUCAAAGACGGUUCCAAAAAAUGUUUUAAAAAUCUAUGUUUAUGUCGGGAUCAGAUGACAAGCUGCUGGUCUGUCCAGGGGGAGUGUCCGGUUCACUGGAGUCAGGGGGCGUGUCCGGCUGGAGCCAGGGGGCGUGUCCGGCUGGAGCCAGGGGGCGUGUCUGGACGGAGCCGGGGGGCGUGUCCGGCUGGAGCCAGGGGGCGUGUCCUGCUGGAGCCAGGGGUGUGUCCGGCUGGAGCCAGGGGUGGAGUAACAUCUCGUCCAGAGUGGGCCGUCCUCGGGGUCGCUUCGCCAGACACCUCCUCAACAGAUCCACACAGUCUGGAGAACAAAGGAGAGAGAACAAGUCUGUCUGUCUGUCUGUGUAUUCCUCUGUCUGUCUGU
Long non-coding RNA from Oncorhynchus tshawytscha (Chinook salmon), 1065 nucleotides. Lineage: Eukaryota; Metazoa; Chordata; Actinopteri; Salmoniformes; Salmonidae. The record is from Ensembl.